This 312-nucleotide ribosomal RNA is filed under the name Escherichia coli. RNAcentral describes it as "partial 23S ribosomal RNA". It matches the Rfam family "Bacterial large subunit ribosomal RNA", at positions 1085 to 1396 of the family's 2925-position model. The record is from RNAcentral. Lineage: Bacteria; Pseudomonadati; Pseudomonadota; Gammaproteobacteria; Enterobacterales; Enterobacteriaceae.
CCAGACAGCCAGGAUGUUGGCUUAGAAGCAGCCAUAAUUUAAAGAAAGCGUAAUAGCUCACUGGUCGAGUCGGCCUGCGCGGAAGAUGUAACGGGGCUAAACCAUGCACCGAAGCUGCGGCAGCGACACUAUGUGUUGUUGGGUAGGGGAGCGUUCUGUAAGCCUGUGAAGGUGUACUGUGAGGUAUGCUGGAGGUAUCAGAAGUGCGAAUGCUGACAUAAGUAACGAUAAAGCGGGUGAAAAGCCCGCUCGCCGGAAGACCAAGGGUUCCUGUCCAACGUUAAUCGGGGCAGGGUGAGUCGACCCCUAAGG